Molecule: ribosomal RNA, 736 nt
Filed under: Dinophysis caudata
Lineage: Eukaryota; Dinophyceae; Dinophysales; Dinophysaceae
Description: LSU rRNA
Rfam family: Eukaryotic large subunit ribosomal RNA
Source: RNAcentral
UGACGUUAGGCUAGAUCACCUGCUGAAUUUAAGCAUAUAAGUAAGCGGAGGACAAGAAACUAAACAGGAUCCCCAUAGUAAUGGCGAAUGAACCGGGAUAAACUCAGCAUGGAAAUUGGGGCCUUUGGCUUUGACUUGUAAUCUGGUGAGGCAUUGCCAACAGAGGCGCAUAUGUAAGUCUCUUGGAAAAGAGCAUCAACGAAGGUGAGAGUCCUGAUUGUCAUGUGCAGCCCCCCUGUGCACGGUGUGCCUUCUAAGAGUCACGUUCCUUGGGAUUGGAGCGCAAAUUGGGUGGUAACUUUCAUCUGAAGUUAAACAAGGGUUUGGGACCGAUAGGAAACAAGUACCAUGAGGGAAAGGUGAAAAGGACUUUGGAAAGAGAGUUAAAAGUGCCUGAAAUUGCUGAAGGGGAAGCGAAUGGAACCAGUAGUGCUGGGUGAGAUUGUCACAUGCUACAAGGAUUGGUUGCUGCCACAACGCAAGUGUGAUGGCAAUUUGUGAAUUGCUAGUGUGUGGUGUGUCUUACCUAGUGGGUCAUUGUGGGUUUAUGCAUUAAGAUAAGUCAAAGCAAGCGGGAGCAAGUUUACGAGUUUGUGAAUGUGUGUUGUUAUGCUUGUGCGUAAGCUUUAAGGUUUGUCUGGCUGCAGGGCUGUCCAUCCUCGAGCUGAGGGUUGCGAUGAGCAUAACCUUCUGCGCAGAUCUUGACGAAAUGGUUUCAUUCGACCCGUCUUGAACA